RNAcentral lists this ribosomal RNA (419 nucleotides) under uncultured bacterium. Its description in RNAcentral is "partial 16S ribosomal RNA". It matches the Rfam family "Bacterial small subunit ribosomal RNA", at positions 355 to 774 of the family's 1533-position model. The record is from RNAcentral.
UGGGGAAUAUUGCACAAUGGGCGCAAGCCUGAUGCAGCGACGCCGCGUGGGGGAUGACGGCCUUCGGGUUGUAAACCUCUUUCACCAUCGACGAAGGUCCGGGUUUUCUCGGAUUGACGGUAGGUGGAGAAGAAGCACCGGCCAACUACGUGCCAGCAGCCGCGGUAAUACGUAGGGUGCGAGCGUUGUCCGGAAUUACUGGGCGUAAAGAGCUCGUAGGUGGUGUGGCGCGUUGUUCGUGAAAUCUCACGGCUUAACUGUGAGCGUGCGGGCGAUACGGGCAGACUAGAGUACUGCAGGGGAGACUGGAAUUCCUGGUGUAGCGGUGGAAUGCGCAGAUAUCAGGAGGAACACCGGUGGCGAAGGCGGGUCUCUGGGCAGUAACUGACGCUGAGGAGCGAAAGCGUGGGGAGCGAACA